UGGGGAAUAUUGGACAAUGGGCGAAAGCCUGAUCCAGCAAUGCCGCGUGAGUGAUGAAGGCCUUAGGGUUGUAAAGCUCUUUUACCAGGGAUGAUAAUGACAGUACCUGGAGAAUAAGCUCCGGCUAACUCCGUGCCAGCAGCCGCGGUAAUACGGAGGGAGCUAGCGUUGUUCGGAAUUACUGGGCGUAAAGCGCACGUAGGCGGCGAUUCAAGUCAGAGGUGAAAGCCCGGGGCUCAACCCCGGAACUGCCUUUGAAACUAGAUUGCUAGAAUCCUGGAGAGGUGAGUGGAAUUCCGAGUGUAGAGGUGAAAUUCGUAGAUAUUCGGAAGAACACCAGUGGCGAAGGCGACUCACUGGACAGGUAUUGACGCUGAGGUGCGAAAGCGUGGGGAGCAAAACAGGAUUAGAUACCCUGGUAGUCCACGCCGUAAACGAUGAUAACUAGCUGUCCGGGCUCAUAGAGCUUGGGUGGCGCAGCUAACGCAUUAAGUUAUCCGCCUGGGGAGUACGGUCGCAAGAUUAAAACUCAAAUGAAUUGACGGGGUCAUAGCUGUUUCCU
Molecule: ribosomal RNA, 562 nt
Filed under: uncultured bacterium
Lineage: Bacteria
Description: partial 16S ribosomal RNA
Rfam family: Bacterial small subunit ribosomal RNA
Source: RNAcentral